Long non-coding RNA from Anneissia japonica, 543 nucleotides. RefSeq lists it as uncharacterized. The record is from RefSeq and is a predicted model, not a curated record. The transcript has 3 exons. Lineage: Eukaryota; Metazoa; Echinodermata; Crinoidea; Comatulida; Comatulidae.
AAAGCCCACCUGACUAUUGACCUUCGACCUGAUGGUGAAUACUAAAACUGAGGUUGAAACAAGCAAAGAAAGGCGAUAUGGAGGACAGAAAAAAAUGUAGAAUUUUAUAUCUUCCCAAAUUCAUAUCUUGAGAAACAUUUUAAGAGUAUUUGAAAACAAUUGAGACAGCAAAAGACACAAGCGUCAACUUCAGAAGUUUUACACCAAAAGCAGAAAAAUUUUGUUGCAGCGAAAUCUAUAGCGAGUAGAAGCAGGGACUCACUGAUUUCAUAUGGACCAAUUAAAAGCCAGCAAGCCAAGCAGAGUACCUAGUCCACAUAUGUCAGAAUGAAUGAGUCUUAUUUCAAUAGCGCCCUCUAUGAUAGUGUCUGGAGUGCAGUUGAAACAUUGAAUAAAACUCGCUAUUCAACAUCAAUGAUGAAAGAUACGACCAGCAUUGGAAGAGCUGCAGUCCUGUGAUGAUCCAAAUGGGCAACAGUUGGCUGGCUGUAAAUGUCAUUUAGUCUUUAAGUGGACAGAUGAAAAAUUUGAAAAAGUCAACUA